This 497-nucleotide ribosomal RNA is filed under the name uncultured bacterium. RNAcentral's name for it is "partial 16S ribosomal RNA". It matches the Rfam family "Bacterial small subunit ribosomal RNA", at positions 28 to 507 of the family's 1533-position model. The record is from RNAcentral.
GAUGAACGCUGGCGGCGUGCCUAAUACAUGCAAGUCGAGCGAACAGACGAGGAGCUUGCUCCUCUGACGUUAGCGGCGGACGGGUGAGUAACACGUGGAUAACCUACCUAUAAGACUGGGAUAACUUCGGGAAACCGGAGCUAAUACCGGAUAAUAUAUUGAACCGCAUGGUUCAAUAGUGAAAGACGGUUUUGCUGUCACUUAUAGAUGGAUCCGCGCCGCAUUAGCUAGUUGGUAAGGUAAAGGCUUACCAAGGCAACGAUGCGUAGCCGACCUGAGAGGGUGGUCGGCCACACUGGAACGGAGACACGGUCCAGACUCCUACGGGAGGCAGCAGUAGGGAAUCUUCCGCAAAGGGCGAAAGCCUGACGGAGCAACGCCGCGUGAGUGAUGAAGGUCUUCGGAUCGUAAAACUCUGUUAUUAGGGAAGAACAAAUGUGUAAGUAACUAUGCACGUCUUGACGGUACCUAAUCAGAAAGCCACGGCUAACUACGUG